UUGAAUUAUAUAUAAAAUCAAAUUAUUUUUCAAAAAUAAAUAAAAUAUAAAUUACAAGUUAAUUAUUUAAUUUACAAAACAAAAAUUGAAAAUCAAAUUACUUUCUUCUCUCCCCAGAUCCACCGCUCCCUUUUCCACGCGCCACCAGUUUGCUGAGAUUUUUGUUUAAUCUCUCCCCAUUGAUGAAGUUCCACCGUCAUCUCUCCCUUUUUCCCUUCAGAUUUCUCUCGUGCAUCUCUCUCUCCACCUCCAUCGAGGAUCUACCCCCAUCUUAUAUUGGAAAGAGAUGUGAUGAACUCUUUUAGUGAAUCCAGAUUGUUUUUUCUUCAGAUCUGUAGUAUAAAUAAGAUCUACAUCAACAAUAAGUCAAGUCUAACGAGGAUCAUAAGAAAGGUGAUACCUUCUGUAGUAAAACAAGACAACGAAUCAAGCACCUUGUGUCCCAAAACCUCAAGAUCUCACAACGCCGAACACGAGCUCAUCUUCGUCACCGAGAAACUUAUUAAUCGAAGAAGAAAAACAGAGAAAAUAACAUGGGAUUAACUUCUUAUCCAAAUCUCACGUGAUGCUGAGUCCAUUUAACUUAACACCUUCGAACAAAAAUCUGGUGAUGGAGAUGUAAAGAGGAAGAAGAAGAUGACUAUGUGAUUAUGUGAAUUUACGUUUGUGAUUCUGCUUCUUCCACUUUGUUUUGUGGUUAAAAGAGUAUCUCUUUUCUGAUUGGUUGAAACAAGAAGAAGUGGAUCACUUCUCUUUUGAUAUCAAUCGUUGGAUCUGAAUUUAAUCAACAAACUGCUUUUGCCAUUAUCAAUUUUUUUUUUUAUUGAAAAAGAUAUAAUAAAAUUUCCUACCAAA
RNAcentral lists this long non-coding RNA (855 nucleotides) under Capsella rubella. RNAcentral's name for it is "long non-coding RNA (CRUB_LNC003663)". Lineage: Eukaryota; Viridiplantae; Streptophyta; Magnoliopsida; Brassicales; Brassicaceae. The record is from RNAcentral.